This 27-nucleotide non-coding RNA is filed under the name Rattus norvegicus (Norway rat). Lineage: Eukaryota; Metazoa; Chordata; Mammalia; Rodentia; Muridae. The record is from RNAcentral.
UGCUUAAAGAUGUUUCUGCCUCUUAUC